CUCUCUCUGGCAGCCAGACAGAGGGGUGGAUGUGCUUCCAAGCUGUGCACCUUCAUCAAGUAGGCCUUUUGGUUUCGGAAACUUUCUCAUUUUAUUUGAUUUAUUACCCUUACUUUCAAUUAGAUUGUAUUAUAUUGUGUUAUCUUGCAUUCUGAUAUCGUAGUAAAAUAAGUUUUCCUCCUUAGAUCAUUGCCGCUGCUCCAUUCUUUUUCCCUCUCUGAGCCCAGCUCCCGUUCCUCUACCCCUUUCCCUUUUCCCUUCCCAUUUUUGGGAGCCAAGGAGCCCACGGGCCUACUGCCCCCCUGUCACAGGCAUAGAUUUAUCCAGAUUGAUCUAGAUAACUCCGUGACAACGCCUCAGAGGUAAGCAGGUCAUUUAAGGAAGCUGAAGUAACACAUGGGGAGAGUUCCCUAUGGAAAAAUAGUAUUUUUACUGUUUUACCCCAAACACUAAAUUCUAAAUCCUGCCUGGAAAAAAAUAUUUGUUAACACAUAAAUUACCAAUUUUUUCUUACUGCAUACUUGAAGGGAAGAAAAUCCCCAAACAUUAUGGAUAAACUCUUUUUUUUUUUUUAAUAAGCCCACUCAUUUUGUAUUGUUUAUUGCUUUUUGCUCAAGACUAUCAGAAUAAUUCUUACUGUUUUGGCUUUGCAUCUGAAAUAACAUCUUUGUAGAAGGCAAGAAUUAAGAAAAAUGUGACAGCCUAAUGAAACAAGGCAGUACUUCCUCAUGCAUAAAAUGAAGUGAAAAUCUUGUUUGUUUUAUUUCAAUAAAAAGUUUUAGCCCACUAGGUGGAGAUUUUUAGCUUUCUGUACCAGAUUUUUUUCUGUACCUGGAACAAUUUGAAAUGCUGAAGUGAAAAACGCAAAGACUAUUAAAAAAAGUACUGUUAAUUCACAUGGCUCAAAUGGACAAAUUCCAAUUAUUUAGUUACACAACCAGGCAACAUUUCCACUAACGUAAUUAAAAAUGUAUGCUUUCCAUGCAAUUAAAAAAAACAGUAACCAAUGUGAAAAUGUGUUUAAACCAGUAAAGAAAAUAACAAGAUGUACAUAAGUACAUCUUACUUCCAGGAAAACUUUCUACUGUGUCAGGCACCAUGAUGUGAAGUUUAUAAGGUCAAAAAAGUGAGAAGAUCUACUACUUCAUACUUCAUGCAUUCCUUUACUUUUUUUAAUAGCUUUCAGUAUGCCUUGUUAAGCCCUAGCAAGAGCUUAUGCCUUGGAAAAAAACUUAUAACAAAAAAUCAUAGAAUUGCUCAGGUUGGAAAAGACUUUAAAGAUCAUCAAGUCCAACCACAACCUAACCAUACUGCCCUAACACUAACAGCCCUCCACUAGAUCAUGUCCCUGAGCACCACAUCCAAAUGGUUUUUAAACACAUCCAGGGAUGGUGACUCAACUGGAAUAGGCUCCCUGGGGAGCCUAUUCCAGUGCUUAACAAACCUUUCUGUAAAGAAGUAUUUCCAGAUAUCACCCCUAAACUUACCCUGGCACAACUUUAGGCCAUUUCUCUUCAUCCUGUCACCAGUGAGAAGAGACCAACCCUGCUAUUGCUUUAAGCACCUUUCAGAUACUGGAAGAGAGCAAUAAGGUCUCCCCUCAGCCUCCUCUUCCCCAGACUAAACAGUCCCAGUUCCUUCAGUCGCUCCUUGUAGGACAUAUUCUCCAAGCCCCUCACCAGCUUUGUUGCCCUUCUUUGGACUGGCUCCAGCACCUCAGUGUCCUUUUAGUAUUGAGGUCCAGCAUCAAACGCACGGACUCAGACAUGAACAAUCCAAAUUGUUUAUCACAAAUUCUCACAUUUCUUAUAUACAUUCACAAGUUUCCUUUUUUAUCUUUCCCAUCCACCCUUACAACUUUCCCAUCUACUUUCACAUGUCAAUAGAAUAUUCUACAAACACUCCUUAACCAUGCAUGCGGGUGCUUAUCCAAUCAGAGCCACGAGCCGUUUCUUUUACUUUUUUUUUUCUUCUAGAGGCGUCCUUGGUUCUCAUGCUGUUUAUCUUGCUUCACAGCUGCUGCGCUAAAUAGUUUCUCUGGUUGGAGAUCCCUCCAUUGUGGAGUCCUUCUGAGAGCCUAGAUCUUUGGAGAUGGGUGAACACAUUUACUUUCCUAUGACCACCUGAUGUAUAAUGUUUUUAAGAUAAUCAAUCAUACGUAAGUCCCUGCCUGGCUCACCAAAUUGGGCAGAUCAAUAUUAUGGGAGGACUAGCAUGAUAAAAAAUGUGCUUUAAGGAUGGGAAAAGGAUUGCUUACCUGGAUCUGAAGAUAUCAAGUUCGCAGGGGAAAGCUCCAUCUGGGAGAGAUCUCCCGAAAGAGAUCCUUUCCCAGUGGCAGCCAGACCCUAAAUAGGGCCUAAGAGAGGUGGAGCCAGGUUCCACCCCUUCUGGUUGGGAGAGGUAGAUUGUGUUUUUGUGGUGGAAAUUUCCAGUAUUUAUGUAGCGUAGGAUAAGUUGUUUUUCACAAAGAAAGCUGCUGAACAGAGUAAAGUUGAGACCGGGGCGUUCCGACCUAGGUAGAAUUGGCACAGGCACUAAGUGAGGUAAUUAUAUAGGGUAGGGGAGAGUCUGGUACAGGACAGAACAAGUGUGCAAAUUUUUGAGAAUACUGUCCUCCUGUCACCAUAGAAAGUACAGAACAUGCCCAGAAACAGUGGGUUGGAAGCAGACAUUGUAUGGAAAUGUAAGGUAGCAACAGUGUUGGAAGACUGUGAGCCUGAGAUGCUCAACCAAUGAGUGCCAGGAGAGGCGUUACCUGCAUCAGACCCAGGGUAUAUAAUGGAAUGGAUUUCUCUGACUAGGUGCACAAUUUCUCCCUCGUCAGUAGGGAGUGUGCGCCAUUAUUACAAUAACGAAUAAACUGCUCUUCACAGAGAUCUUUGCCUGAUUAGAAAUUUUUGAUCCUGAGCAUGUUUCUUACAGUUUUCACACAGUAAGUGCUGCAACACUAAUUACUAUACUGGCUGGAUGGCCUUCUUUCUCAUGCUAUAAAACUACAAAAAGCCAGCCCAAAAUGAUCAACUAGAUGUUUUAGUGUUGUUUAAGGGAGAAAGAAGUUGUAUACCUAACUCAGCUAAAUGACAAAUAAAAGAGGGUACUUUGUCUAUAUGAGGGUACUUUGUCUAUAUGAGGAGUCAGUAAAUGUAAAAUAGGAUUCAGCUAACAACAAUGGAUAGAGUUGAAAUGAUGCCUAAAGGCAGAAGGAAAAGCUGCCCCUUAGAUCAUAGAAGAGUCUCUGGAAGAUGAUGGUGGAAUGGUCUUCUCUACUAGUACAGUGGUCAUCACUAAAAUGUCCACAUUUACUAAUACUGCACCCCACUCUUAUUUUUGUGGCCCCGUGAGUUGGCAGUGGUGGUUCAUCAUGGAGCCACCUGCGGACCCGAGGAUGUUAUUAAGAGAUAAGAUCUGUGAACAUCUGGGGGAUAAGGAUGGACAGUGGGCACUGCGAUUUCGUGAGACUGAUCUGAUAAUUCCUGGCAACUCUGUGCACAGACCGAGGAGUAAACUCACUCACUUUCCUCCGUGGAAUGGUGCUCCCCCCCUUUAUCAUCUUGGCCUCAAGUCAAGUCCUGUAACUACAAGAGGAAGACUGGAGACAGCUGACAAAGCAGAUGGAAUUGGCUUGGAUCAUCCCCUUAACAGCCUUCCUGAACCAAGCUCUGUGACUAGUGCUGAUGCUGAAGAGAAAUUCUGCCAGCUUGAGAAAGAAUUGGAACAAUGCAAAAGGAACAUUACAAUUUUUGCCUUUCCUAACUCUAACACCAUUAACCCCACUAACACAUCCAUGUAUCCUCUAAGGGAAGUUUCAAUGUUAUCAGGAGAUACAGAUAUGUAAACUCCCCGCUUACUUGUGGAGAGGAAAGAAAUUAUAAAAGGGAAGUGAAAUCUUUAAUGAAAAAACCCUAUUGGAUUAGCCGAACAGUUUGAUCAAUUCUUGGUCAUCUUUAGCUUAUAAAAUACUGGGUCUUAAUUUAACUGGGAACACCUUAAGAAUAAAAGGGGUGGAGGGGUCAGGAAUGAUAGUUUCACUUUUUGAGACUACUGAGUUAAAAUGGGAAGAUAAAAUAGUCACAGGGCAAUAGUUACAUGUGUCAGAAACAGCAACCAAUUCACUGGGGAGAGAUUUAAUAGUUAAAUUAGGAUUGCAGUUGAGAAUCUGUGAAACGGGUAUAAAGAUGUCAGUGAAUGUGUUAACAGCUGCUGAUGAAAAAGAAAUAAAUCCAAAGGUGUGGUCAAGGAAA
This is a long non-coding RNA of Gallus gallus (chicken), 4241 nucleotides long. RefSeq lists it as uncharacterized. The transcript is spliced from 2 exons. NCBI's taxonomy places the organism in Eukaryota, Metazoa, Chordata, Aves, Galliformes, Phasianidae. The record is from RefSeq and is a predicted model, not a curated record.